CAGCACUCUGCUUCUUCGUCUCUGAAAACACUACAGAGUGACGACAUGUCCUCAGCCCUUCCCUGUUUUAAAAAAAGGGAACUGCUGAAGACAAUUGAUCUGAUUCUAGCCCUGUGUGACUUUGUGAGGCUACAGUACUGAGAUGAGAACACAGUCUAUUCUAGAACACAGAGGCUAUGACACUCCAAACCAACAGUCCAUUCUAGAACACAUGACACUCCAAACCAACAGUCCAUUCUAGAACACAGAGGCUAUGACACUCCAAACCAACAGUCCAUUCUAGAACACAGUGGCUAUGACACUCCAAACCAACAGUCCAUUCUAGAACACAGAAGCUAUGACACUCCAAACCAACAGUCCAUUCUAGAACACAGAGGCUAUGACACUCUAAACCAACAGUCCAUUCUAGAACACAGAAGCUAUGACACUCCAAACCAACAGUCCAUUCUAGAACACAGAGGCUAUGACAUUCCAAACCAACAGUCCAUUCUAGAACACAGUGGCUAUGACACUCCAAACCAACAGUCCAUUCUAGAACACAGAGGCUAUGACACUCCAAACCAACAGUCCAUUCUAGAACACAGUGGCUAUGACACUCCAAACCAACAGUCCAUUCUAGAACACAGUGGCUAUUCCACUCCAAACCAACAGUCCAUUCUAGAACACAGAGGCUAUGACACUCCAAACCAACAGUCCAUUCUAGAACACAGAGGCUAUGACACUCCAAACCAACAGUCCAUUCUAGAACACAGAGGCUAUGACACUCCAAACCAACAGUCCAUUCUAGAACACAGAAGCUAUGACACUCCAAACCAACAGUCCAUUCUAGAACACAGAGGCUAUGACACUCCAAACCAACAGUCCAUUCUAGAACACAGAAGCUAUGACACGCCAAACCAACAGUCCAUUCUAGAACACAGUGGCUAUGGCACGCCAAACCAACAGUCCAUUCUAGAACACAGAAGCUAUGACACUCCAAACCAACAGUCCAUUCUAGAACACAGUGGCUAUGACACGCCAAACCAACAGUCCAUUCUAGAACACAGAGGCUAUGACACUCCAAACCAACAGUCCAUUCUAGAACACAGUGGCUAUGACACUCCAAAC
RNAcentral lists this long non-coding RNA (1107 nucleotides) under Salmo salar (Atlantic salmon). RNAcentral describes it as "lncRNA (ENSSSAG00000096576.1)". Lineage: Eukaryota; Metazoa; Chordata; Actinopteri; Salmoniformes; Salmonidae. The record is from RNAcentral.